UGGGGGAUAUUGCACAAUGGGCGAAAGCCUGAUGCAGCGACGCCGCGUGGGGGAUGAAGGCUUUCGGGUUGUAAACCUCUUUCGCUAUCGAACAAGGCCCGCUUAGGGUGGGUUGAGGGUAGGUGGAGAAGAAGCGCCGGCUAACUACGUGCCAGCAGCCGCGGUAAUACGUAGGGCGCGAGCGUUGUCCGGAAUUAUUGGGCGUAAAGGGCUUGUAGGCGGCUUGUUGCGCCUGCUGUGAAAACGCGGGGCUUAACUUCGCGCGUGCAGUGGGUACGGGCAGGCUUGAGUGUGGUAGGGGGGACUGGAAUUCCAGGUGUAGCGGUGGAAUGCGCAGAUAUCUGGAGGAACACCGAUGGCGAAGGCAGGUCACUGGGCCAUUACUGACGCUGAGGGGCGAAAGCAUGGGUAGCGAACAGG
Molecule: ribosomal RNA, 420 nt
Filed under: bacterium
Lineage: Bacteria
Description: partial 16S ribosomal RNA
Rfam family: Bacterial small subunit ribosomal RNA
Source: RNAcentral